AUAAAAAGCAAAGAAUUCAAUAACUAAUGUGAAUGUUUGACAAAAGGAUUUCGAUAUUUUUGCGAAAAUGAUAAUCGAUGAGACAAUCGAACUGUACAUUUUGCUAUCUUCACAAGGUUGAUCCACAUAAGUUCAUAUAUAUGUAUCUAGGUGGCGCAGAGAAAAAGUAAUGUGUUUUUAAAACGACAAACGUAGACUUAUGAUGAAGAAAUAUCCUUCAUUAUUAUAAGUGACAUUUUAUUAGUGAGAAAAGAAAUCGGUUGAUGUCAGAUCGAUCAAUGACUUUAUGUGUAAGUGAGAAAUUACGAUGAAUCUUGAAUGUCUCGGGGCAGAUAGCUGAAUAAAAAUCUAAUUUUCAGGUAUCUGUCGACAUAUCUUGUAUCACUAACGUAUAAGCUACGUACGCCUCCAUUAUUCGCAGUUAAACGUUCGUUUCUUUCAAAUAUAAUAGAGCCAGUUUUUCGCUGAAAUUAAUAUCUCUCGGUCAUCAACAUGAAUUCGUUUCCACGGAGAAGUCAUCGAUGUGUCGUCCUGAUAGAAACAUCUGAUCGGAAUCUGUUAUCCUGUUGAAAUCGCAAGAGGAGGUGCGGCGAGGAGGGAGGGGUGAGUUCCAAAAUUUCAUAAUAGACAAUCGUAUUAUCAUGACAAUAUCGAAUGAUUGGUAUCAUUCUAUUUACUCGGCUAUGAUUCUAUUUUUAGGAACGAAA
Long non-coding RNA from Apis dorsata (giant honeybee), 707 nucleotides. RefSeq lists it as uncharacterized. The transcript is spliced from 2 exons. Lineage: Eukaryota; Metazoa; Arthropoda; Insecta; Hymenoptera; Apidae. The record is from RefSeq and is a predicted model, not a curated record.